CGAGACUCUGGAAAGCCGCGGCAUGAUGCGCGGCGCCGAAGAAGCAAUCCCCUGCCAGGGUGCGGGGAGAAUCUUUCAGGCGAUAUGAACAGAGGC
This 96-nucleotide non-coding RNA is filed under the name chicken gut metagenome. RNAcentral describes it as "Glycine riboswitch". It matches the Rfam family "Glycine riboswitch aptamer", at positions 7 to 88 of the family's 94-position model. Rfam says of the family: This family represents the bacterial glycine riboswitch. Glycine riboswitches usually consist of two metabolite-binding aptamers domains with similar structures in tandem. The record is from RNAcentral.